AUGGCUUAGUGGAAAGAGCCUGGGCUUUGGAGCCAGAGGUUGUGGGUUCUAAUCCCACU
This 59-nucleotide transfer RNA is filed under the name Ornithorhynchus anatinus (platypus). It matches the Rfam family "tRNA", at positions 7 to 64 of the family's 71-position model. Rfam says of the family: Transfer RNA (tRNA) molecules are approximately 80 nucleotides in length. The record is from Rfam by way of RNAcentral. Lineage: Eukaryota; Metazoa; Chordata; Mammalia; Monotremata; Ornithorhynchidae.